UGAUGUUGAUGCAGUUUUUGAAGCUAAUACGCAGCAGAUUUAUAACAGGGUAUUGGAUAACUUUCGGCUAUAUAUUGAGAGCCUUUGGAGAUGGAAUUGAGCGUGCUAACCUGAACCAAAACUAGGGUGCAAGCUGUGACCGGGUAUAAGGGAAAAUGUUGCUGAAAAUGAAUGUUUUGAUAUAAAUUUCGAUGCAGUUUUAUAAGUAAAUCGCAGCAAGGUUAAGACCUGGUUGAGCUGAAUUCGGGACUCAUUUGAGCAGGUUUGAGCUGAGUUUUGGGGAGCUUCUACAUACAUUGGAGAGUGGAUUUAACCUCCCUUUUAACUUAGGAACCUGGAUGCUUGAAUUGCUCACCGUGUGAGAUUGACAAGAGGCAUCGUUUAGCAGAGCCUUCCACAACGGAAAAGGCUAAGGUUCUUGGCGAGGGGUCAGCGGCUAGCUAGAGCUUUCUCGAUGUUAAAUAGAUGGAUGAUGUUCGAUAGAUGGAACCACUCCAGAUUUUCUAGUUCUGUAUUGUGUUGUUAACGAGAUUCUGUAAAUUUAUAAUUGUUCCUUCCUGUUGUAUUAAGA
Molecule: long non-coding RNA, 571 nt
Organism: Ananas comosus (pineapple)
Lineage: Eukaryota; Viridiplantae; Streptophyta; Magnoliopsida; Poales; Bromeliaceae
Exons: 3
Source: RefSeq, a predicted model, not a curated record